RNAcentral lists this non-coding RNA (21 nucleotides) under Arabidopsis thaliana (thale cress). Lineage: Eukaryota; Viridiplantae; Streptophyta; Magnoliopsida; Brassicales; Brassicaceae. The record is from RNAcentral.
CUGAUCGUCGCUUCAACCUUU